Molecule: non-coding RNA, 30 nt
Filed under: Homo sapiens (human)
Lineage: Eukaryota; Metazoa; Chordata; Mammalia; Primates; Hominidae
Source: RNAcentral
CACCUUGCUUGGGUGAAGUGUCAGAUGAGG